Molecule: long non-coding RNA, 1022 nt
Filed under: Sphaeramia orbicularis (orbiculate cardinalfish)
Lineage: Eukaryota; Metazoa; Chordata; Actinopteri; Kurtiformes; Apogonidae
Description: lncRNA (ENSSORG00005024305.1)
Source: RNAcentral
CAGGGGUUCUACCCCCUGUCACUCCCACUAGUCCAGCUGAAGCUCUGGCUGAGGGAGUACUGACUCAGCUGACAGCUCAGCGUCCCUCUGUGCUGUCCUCACAGUCAGGAUCAGACAGUGCUCCACAGUGCCUCCUUCUGGAGAGGCGUGGUGAAGCUGAGGCUGAAACUCAGCACAUCCAGGAGCACACAGCGGACAUCAACUCCCCCCAGGACCAACUGCCCACCCAUCCAGGGACUCCCACAGACCCCUUGGCUGAGACGCUGGUCAAUGGAGACAGCCACACCAAAGCUCAGAGCCCCGUGCCCAGCCGGGUGUCCUCCCCCCGUUCUCCCCGCUCGCCACGCUCACCUCCGCCACGCUCGCCUUCCUCUCCACGCUCUCCUCGCACUCCUCGUUCCCCCCGCAGCCCUUUGUUCGCCAAUGGUGACCCCUCACCCCUGGUUGACAGCCAAAAGGAAUUAACUAAUUUUCCCAAGCUGAAAGACACUGAGAAGGAUUCGACCCCCUGUGCGACGGAGCUGCAGCUAAAGGAGGAGCCCAUUGGAGAAGUGAACCAUGUUCCAGAGCAGUCCACUGGUCCAGCCUCCUCUCCUCCUCCUGCCCCCCGUAAAGACCCCAGCCGCAGACAAAGUCGCAUACCUGUGCUUGAGCCUUCUAGCCUACUGGAGAUCCCUGCUCCGGGCUCCGCCAAGGAGAAGCUCCUGCAGAAGAAAGCCAGCCACCACGGCCCGGUCCCCUCUCCCACUGCGUCACCGUCCCUUUCUGACAGGCGUGGUCCCAUGGUGGCCUCUCUGGCUCGGGACCCGCUGUCCUCCACCUCUGACCGCUCUCAGGAAGAGGACUCCCUCAUGGGCUCCCGUUCUGACCGGCAGGGCGAUGACGCUCCAUCCCUCUCCUCCUCCUCUAGCCCACUGUCCCGCAAGAGCCGGAUCCCUCGUCCGGUCCAUCCCGCUUCCUCUGCUGAGCAGCUGGCUGCGCAAUUCCUGCCACACCCACCUCCUGGAAAGCCGCCUUGCCGC